AUUUAAAUAAUUUAAAUAAAAUAUUGAUUUGUGGAGUCAAAAAUAUGAGUAAACUCAUUUUAAAUA
Molecule: transfer RNA, 66 nt
Filed under: Mimathyma nycteis
Lineage: Eukaryota; Metazoa; Arthropoda; Insecta; Lepidoptera; Nymphalidae
Description: Apatura nycteis tRNA-His
Source: RNAcentral